Molecule: ribosomal RNA, 119 nt
Filed under: Pteropus alecto (black flying fox)
Lineage: Eukaryota; Metazoa; Chordata; Mammalia; Chiroptera; Pteropodidae
Also listed under: 1 other name
Source: RNAcentral
GUCUACAGCCAUGCUACUCUGAACAAGCCUGAUCCCAUCUGAUCUCAGAAGCUAAGCAGGGUCGGGCCUCGUUAGUACUUGGAUGUGAGACCAUCUAGGAAGACCAGGUGCUAUAGGUG